This is a long non-coding RNA of Beta vulgaris subsp. vulgaris (sugar beet), 2317 nucleotides long. RefSeq lists it as uncharacterized. The record is from RefSeq and is a predicted model, not a curated record. Lineage: Eukaryota; Viridiplantae; Streptophyta; Magnoliopsida; Caryophyllales; Amaranthaceae. The transcript is spliced from 5 exons.
UAAAAACCGCGGGUGGAAUUGAGUCCACCAAUCCACUAUUUGAGAAGAUUACAACUUAUAGCUAGCAGCUAGCAGCUUAGAGCUUGUACUAAAUACACUUAAGAAUAUUGUAAAUGUAGAAGAGAGAAAGAAUGUAAGUGAAAGCAAUGUAAAGACUUAUCUUGUACAGAGUAUUAUUCCCUUCUAUUUAUACUAAUACAAUUGUAUAACGUUACUCCUCAUUUGAACGUUGCAUAACUAACUUCCCUACGAAAGUGCCACAACUCCUAGAAUCUAGGGAGAUCUCUUCUUCUGCUGGCUAACCACUUCCUCCUAUUUCUUUGGCUUAACGUCACUUAUUUUGACUUGGUCUUGAUCAGUAUCCAAUGUUCUUUCAACCGAAUUUAUUCAACUCCCUUCGUCUCUGCUUGCUGUAGCUGCUACCUGAUAAUCUCUAGCUGGGACAGAUGCAUAACCUGCAGGUUCAGCUUAGGAAAUUUUUAGGACAUAACAGUGAGUUAUUUUCAAAACCCCCCACACUUAUGUCAGACGUUUCCAAUAAGAAUUUCUGGCACAAAAACAUCCAUCAGCAUAACCGAGAUCACUGGAAGCAGCAUGAAACUCAUUUUCUUCCAAGGGAAAUCUUCCAGCCUCUACGACUUAGACUAAUAUCAAUCAUCUCAGGCCAAGGUUAAUUGAUGAUCAAAUUCAUAAUUGUCACUUUCUUAGCUUCACAAAUUAAUGCUCCUCUUUGUAUUCAUUUUUUAACUCAAGUUGUUCACUUUUUUUUUUUGUCAAUUGAGGUUAAUUUGAUGUGGUUCUUUUUUAAUAUUUAAUUUUUUUUUUUGUUAAUUCUGUGAACUUGGCAUCCGAAAAUUUGGAAAUUUGAGGUUCUAGAAUCGUCGUAUUGUUCAGCAUGCAUGGAUCAAUUUCAUUUUACUUGUGGUUUUCCUCUUUCUGGACUAUUUCUUUGGCAAACACUAAUAUGCAUUUCGAUUUUUUUAUUUGCAUAAAGGUUUGUGUUACUCUGGAGGAUUUUCAUUUGUCACGGAGAGGAUUUUUUAUGACGGCUAACAUUAUUAUUUACUAUUGAGGAUUUUUUAUUUGAGGAUUUUUUGGAAUUUAAGGGUUUGUUGUUGUGGUGGUGGUCUGAAGCUUUGGAUUUACAUAGUAGUAUUAUUUCGGUUGUGUGUGUAGUUCAAUCACAAUUUCUAUGGUAAUGCAACUCCACCUCGAAAUAUUGUGUUUUUUUUUUUUUUGAUAAAUUUGCAUGUCUACUCAUCUCUAUUCUAUAUGUAUAUGUAAAGAGGAUAGGACACUAAAAUAUUAAAACUCCAAUUCUACCCUCACAAAAUUAAACAAAUUACAACAAAACCUUUCUAAGAAAAGAAAAGAGAAUAUCAAAGCAGUUCAACGACAGUUUCAAAACUAAAUUGUAUUUCACUUCUGAACCACUCUAACUUCCAACGAUCCAUUGUAGUUCCACAAAAUGUUGCCUUCCCAGUUCUUCCUCCUCUCUCCUCUUCCUCUCCACUCAUUCAUUCAUCUACGCAUAAUAUCCGAUUUCUCAUAUAAUAAAAACAUCAAAAGAAAUUUAAAGAAGAACCCAAAAAGGGUUAAUUUUUACUUCUUUUUUUUUUUUUCCUAAGAGAGGCUUCUUCCAUAUUCUAAACAAAAACAGUUUUUAUAUGUAUUUUGUACCUUUUUUAGGGUUUUUGGAAAUUUAUCUGGUGAGUUUUAUUGUUCAAUUAUUUGAUUUAUGAGUUUAAAUCAAUUUAAUUGAAUUUGAUGGUGGUAUUGGGAAUUUUUUUCUGUUUCAUUUGCUUUUGAUGUAUCUGGGUAAAUUUGAGGAUAGGAGUUAAGGAGUAGAGAAGAGAGAAAGAUUGAUUUUUUUUUUUUUUUUGGAAAUGUACGUGAUUUACAUGCGACGUACGAGGAUCCUUCCAAAGUGAUCGAAGCAGAUAUUUAGCAUGCUAAUACUCUGUCUUUAUCAUCAAUUUCAAUAAAGAAGUAAAAUAAUUGACAGUCAUGGAAGCUUACAAGCUCAUUGGUACCUAGUUUGUUAUUGAAAGGAGAAUCUAGUGCGUAUUGUGUUGCAUUCAUGUUUUGGAGGUUUGAAGAUGAUGCAUCAUGGGUUCGGGAAAUUGGAGAGCUUGUGUUGACUUUAUAUUUUAUAGUUGACUUUAUACUUUUCUAGUUGGCUUUUGACUUUUGACUUUACGUUGUGUUGACUUUUGGACUUAACUAAGUUUUAUUUCUAAAGUUAUUUACUAUUAUUUCCGCUGUAAAAUUUUGAAUCAGCCGAUACGUUAUCAAACGGGCGAUAAUACUUUGAUAA